RNAcentral lists this ribosomal RNA (545 nucleotides) under uncultured archaeon. Its description in RNAcentral is "bacterial SSU rRNA". It matches the Rfam family "Bacterial small subunit ribosomal RNA", at positions 399 to 935 of the family's 1533-position model. The record is from RNAcentral.
GCGUGAGUGAAGAAGCCUGCGGGUAGUAAAGCUCUUUCGGCAGGAACGAAAUGGUUCGUGCUAAUACCACGGACUGAUGACGGUACCUGAAGAAGAAGCACCGGCUAACUACGUGCCAGCAGCCGCGGUAAUACGUAGGGUGCAGGCGUUAAUCGGAAUUACUGGGCGUAAAGCGUGCGCAGGCGGUUUCUUAAGUCAGAUGUGAAAGCCCCGGGCUUAACCUGGGAACUGCGUUUGAAACUGGGAGACUUGAGUGUGGCAGAGGGGGGUGGAAUUCCACGUGUAGCAGUGAAAUGCGUAGAUAUGUGGAGGAACACCGAUGGCGAAGGCAGCCCCCUGGGCUAACACUGACGCUCAUGCACGACAGCGUGGGGAGCAAACAGGAUUAGAUACCCUGGUAGUCCACGCCCUAAACUAUGUCAACUGGUUGUCGGGGGAUUAACUCCCUUGGUAACGAAGCUAACGCGUGAAGUCGACCGCCUGGGGAGUACGGCCGCAAGGUCACAACUCAACAGGAAUCGACGGGGACCCGCACACAGCGGUGC